CCUACGGGGGGCAGCAGUGGGGGAUAUUGCACAAUGGGGGAAACCCUGAUGCAGCGACGCCGCGUGGGUGAAGAAGCGCCUCGGCGCGUAAAGCCCUGUCAGCAGGGAAGAAAAUGACGGUACCUGAAGAAGAAGCCCCGGCUAACUACGUGCCAGCAGCCGCGGUAAUACGUAGGGGGCAAGCGUUAUCCGGAUUUACUGGGUGUAAAGGGGGCGCAGACGGCGAUGCAAGCCAGGAGUGAAAGCCCGGGGCCCAACCCCGGGACUGCCCUUGGAACUGCGUGGCUAGAGUGCAGGAGGGGCAGGCGGAAUUCCGGGUGUAGCGGUGAAAUGCGUAGAUAUCAGGAGGAACACCGGUUGCGAAGGCGGCCUGCUGGACUGCAACUGACGUUGAGGCCCGAAAGCGUGGGGAGCAAACAGGAUUAGAUACCCCAGUAGUC
This 440-nucleotide ribosomal RNA is filed under the name uncultured bacterium. RNAcentral describes it as "partial 16S ribosomal RNA". It matches the Rfam family "Bacterial small subunit ribosomal RNA", at positions 338 to 795 of the family's 1533-position model. The record is from RNAcentral.